AGCUUUGAGCAUUGGCGAUAAUUUGGUUACCAAUGAGGUUUUACUGAGGUGCGAUUAUUGCUGGUUGAAAAAAAAAUCCUACUUAACAGUGUAUCAUGUUUUCUACCAGAAAUUUAGAACUUUUUUUCUGAUAAUGAUUUAUAUUA
This is a small nuclear RNA of Toxorhynchites rutilus septentrionalis, 146 nucleotides long. RefSeq annotates it as U4 spliceosomal RNA. The record is from RefSeq and is a predicted model, not a curated record. The transcript has a single exon. NCBI's taxonomy places the organism in Eukaryota, Metazoa, Arthropoda, Insecta, Diptera, Culicidae.